UAUAUCUAUAUAAUUUUGGCCUUCUAUUGACCUUUUUUUGCAUCAAACCAAUUUUAUUUUCUUCUCCAGUCAAUUGGGCCUCGAAAUAGGUACUCGUGAAGGAGAUGGACUGUAGCACCAAUUUUUGUUGUGUUGGCAUGAUUUCUAGAAUAUCGAAAUGGCUCGAAACAAGGAGGGUUUAGUUUUGAUGCUUCAUGUUGGUCGAACAAUGCAAGCUGUGCUGCAAGAAGUCGAAAAGGUGAAAACUCGAGAUUAAACGAUGAAUUGAGGGAAUUUAUGCGAGAAACGAGCUAAAGAUGAAGGCAAACGAAGAAGACAACCAAAGAUGCCGUAGAAAGAAGAUUCAAAA
Long non-coding RNA from Olea europaea var. sylvestris, 349 nucleotides. RefSeq lists it as uncharacterized. The record is from RefSeq and is a predicted model, not a curated record. Lineage: Eukaryota; Viridiplantae; Streptophyta; Magnoliopsida; Lamiales; Oleaceae. The transcript has 3 exons.